AGUGAACGCUGGCGGUAGGCCUAACACAUGCGAGUCGAACGGCAGCACAGUAAGAGCUUGCUCUUACGGGUGGCGAGUGGCGGACGGGUGAGGAAUACAUCGGAAUCUACUUUUUCGUGGGGGGUAACGUAGGGAAACUUACGCUAAUACCGCAUACGACCUACGGGUGAAAGCAGGGGAUCUUCGGACCUUGCGCGAUUGAAUGAGCCGAUGUCGGAUUAGCUAGUUGGCGGGGUAAAGGCCCACCAAGGCGACGAUCCGUAGCUGGUCUGAGAGGAUGAUCAGCCACACUGGAACUGAGACACGGUCCAGACUCCUACGGGAGGCAGCAGUGGGGAAUAUUGGACAAUGGGCGCAAGCCUGAUCCAGCCAUACCGCGUGGGUGAAGAAGGCCUUCGGGUUGUAAAGCCCUUUUGUUGGGAAAGAAAAGCAGCAGGUUAAUACCCCGCUGUUCUGACGGUACCCAAAGAAUAAGCACCGGCUAACUUCGUG
RNAcentral lists this ribosomal RNA (492 nucleotides) under uncultured bacterium. Its description in RNAcentral is "partial 16S ribosomal RNA". It matches the Rfam family "Bacterial small subunit ribosomal RNA", at positions 29 to 507 of the family's 1533-position model. The record is from RNAcentral.